Molecule: ribosomal RNA, 532 nt
Filed under: Rathayibacter sp. AY1D2
Lineage: Bacteria; Bacillati; Actinomycetota; Actinomycetes; Micrococcales; Microbacteriaceae
Description: bacterial SSU rRNA
Rfam family: Bacterial small subunit ribosomal RNA
Source: RNAcentral
AUGGUUGCCCCGCAAGGUCGGUAUACAGGUGGUGCAUGGUUGUCGUCAGCUCGUGUCGUGAGAUGUUGGGUUAAGUCCCGCAACGAGCGCAACCCUCGUUCUAUGUUGCCAGCACGUCAUGGUGGGAACUCAUAGGAGACUGCCGGGGUCAACUCGGAGGAAGGUGGGGAUGACGUCAAAUCAUCAUGCCCCUUAUGUCUUGGGCUUCACGCAUGCUACAAUGGCCGGUACAAAGGGCUGCGAUACCGUAAGGUGGAGCGAAUCCCAAAAAGCCGGUCUCAGUUCGGAUUGAGGUCUGCAACUCGACCUCAUGAAGUCGGAGUCGCUAGUAAUCGCAGAUCAGCAACGCUGCGGUGAAUACGUUCCCGGGCCUUGUACACACCGCCCGUCAAGUCAUGAAAGUCGGUAACACCCGAAGCCAGUGGCCUAACCGCAAGGAGGGAGCUGUCGAAGGUGGGAUCGGUGAUUAGGACUAAGUCGUAACAAGGUAGCCGUACCGGAAGGUGCGGCUGGAUCACCUCCUUUCUAAGGA